Molecule: ribosomal RNA, 253 nt
Filed under: uncultured bacterium
Lineage: Bacteria
Description: partial 16S ribosomal RNA
Rfam family: Bacterial small subunit ribosomal RNA
Source: RNAcentral
UACGUAGGCAGCGAGCGUUGUUCGGAGUUACUGGGCGUAAAGGGUGUGUAGGCGGUUAUUUAAGUUUGGUGUGAAAUCUCCCGGCUCAACCGGGAGGGUGCGCCGAAUACUGAAUGACUUGGAGUGCGGGAGAGGAAAGUGGAAUUCCUGGUGUAGCGGUGAAAUGCGUAGAUAUCAGGAGAACACCGGUGGUGUAGACGGCUUUCUGGACCGUAACUGACGCUGAGACACGAAAGCGUGGGUAGCAAACAGG